AAUAUCCAAAAAUUCUACUAGGUUCCACUGUUGGAUUAGUGAUCAGACGUACAGCAGCACUGUGCGUAUCAUAUAUUCCGCCAAAAAACAUCGCCUUGGCAACUAAUAGCAAUGCACCCAAACCUAAAAUAAUCAAAUGAUGUCCUAAAAUCAACCCCAAUUGUUUUGGAUCAUCCCA
RNAcentral lists this antisense RNA (178 nucleotides) under Calothrix sp. PCC 6303. RNAcentral describes it as "Antisense RNA which regulates isiA expression". It matches the Rfam family "Antisense RNA which regulates isiA expression". Lineage: Bacteria; Bacillati; Cyanobacteriota; Cyanophyceae; Nostocales; Calotrichaceae. The record is from Rfam by way of RNAcentral.